RNAcentral lists this long non-coding RNA (1949 nucleotides) under Nicotiana tabacum (common tobacco). RNAcentral's name for it is "long non-coding RNA (NTAB_LNC000159)". Lineage: Eukaryota; Viridiplantae; Streptophyta; Magnoliopsida; Solanales; Solanaceae. The record is from RNAcentral.
CCCCCCCCCCGCAAGUUGGAGGGCGGGGCACGAACUCCCAACUUGCAGAGAAUAGAGCGGUGAAGAGGGCCGGCAAGAGCUUUGGUGAAGAUAUCAGCGAGCUGACCGGAAGAGGGAACGAACGACAAUGAAACCAGGCCAUCCAAGAGCUUUUGACGGACGAAGUGACAAUCAAGCUCGAUAUGCUUUGUCCACUCAUGAAAAACAGAAUUCUUCGCAAUAUGGAUAGCCGCCUUAUUAUCACAGUGCACUGGAACAGGUAAAGAAGGAACAACAGAAAUGUCACCAAGAAGAUGAACUACCAACUGAGCUCUGCAACAAGGCACCGCAUAGAACGGUAUUCAGCCUCUGCCGAUGACAAAGAGACAACUGCCUGCUUUUUGGAUUUCCAAGAAAUUGGGCAACCACCGAGGCUAAUAAAUAACCCACUAACGGAACGUCGAGUAUCAACACAAGAUGCCCAAUCAGAAUCGCAAUAGGCAACCAACUGAAAAGAAGGAUCUUUAGACAGAAAAAUGCCUAAACCCGAAUCUGCCCGAACAUAGCGAAGUGUGUGAAGUGCAGCCUGAAAAUGAUCUUGGGUAGGAGAUUGCAUAAAUUGACUCAAAGAUUGCACAACAAAAGACAAAUCUGGGCAAGAGUGGGUUAGAAAGUUAAGCUUGCCCACCAAAUGCCGAUAUGUUGAAGUAUCAGAAAGAGGAACACCAGAAGCAGAGGUAAGUUUGAGCGAUGAGUCCAGAGGAGCAGAGACUGGUCUGGAAUGAAGGCAGUUAAAAUCCAACAGUAACUUAAUAGCAAAUUUACGCUGGGAGACAAUGAGGCCAUCAGACUCGCGAAGUAAUUCCAUCCCAAGGAAAUAAUGAGCAAAUCCCAGAUCCUUGAUACGAAAUUCAGAAUCCAAAAACUUCUUAAGGUCAAGUAUCUCAAUAGGACUGUUCCCUGUGAGGAGAAAAUUGUCUACAUAAACAGUGAUAAGCAUAGAAAAACAUCCCUGGUGCUUGUAAAAUAGAGAGUAAUCAUUUAGCGACACAAUAAAACCCGAGACACAAGGGCAGUAGAGAGGCGAGCGUACUAUUGGCGUGAAGACUGCUUAAGGCCAUACAAGGAUUUACGGAGUCGACAAACAUGAUGAGGAGAAGGAAGAGACAUUCCAGAAGGUGGCCUCAUGAACACCUCUUCAUCUAAAUCACCGUGAAAAAAAAGCGUUAUUGACAUCCAACUGAAGUAGAGGCCAAUCACGCUUAAUAGCGACACUAAGGAUGCACCGGAUAGUAGUAAUCUUAACUACAGGUGAGAAUGUCUCUGUGUAGUCAAUACCCUCUCUCUGAAUGUCACCCUGAAUUACCAAUCGAGCUUUUAGACGCUCAACAGAACCAUCAGACUUAGUCUUAAACUUGUAAAUCCAUUUGCAGGGUAAAAUCUUCUUUCCAGGAGGGAGCUCAACCAAAUCCCAAGUUCUAUUAGUCUCUAGAGCUUCGAAUUCUUUGGCCAUUGCAUCCUGCCAACCUGGAUGGAGAGUUGCCUGAUGGUACGUGGAAGGUUCUUGGACAUGGGUAAGGUGUUGAGGAUAUUCUGAUUUUGGGUGGAUAAAGCAGUAAAAGAAAAGGAAUGUAAACAGGCAACAAUAGGGGAAGGAGAUGGAGAAGCUGUGUUGCACAUAUAUUCACUUAAGUAUCCAGGUGUGUGCCUUACUCUGAUGGACCUCCGUAGUGUUGGACUCGCGACAACAUGAGAAGGAGAAAUAGCAAGUGGAGAAGGUAUAGGAACAGACAAGGAUGAUGCAGUAGAUGUAGGAGAUGUGGGAGAUGUAGGAGAGGUGGGAGAUGUAGGAGGGGAUGAUAUAAUAGAUUCAGAGGAAAUAGGAGUAGGUGAAACAGAAAUAGAGGAGGAAUUCAAAGGAGACGAGGUAGGAACUGGAUGUGGGAAAGGAGAAACAAGACGAGUAGAAA